AGCUGGCGGCAUAGUUCCAGCAUCCCGGAACACGGUGAAAAUCCGUGGCGGACCCGCCGCUGUAAUCGGGGACGCCGCUUCGACGGCGAGAGCCAGCCACUGACGGGGACCACCCGGUCGGGAAGGCGCGAGGCGGCGGUCGAUCCGAGAGCCAGAAGACCUGCUGGAACGUCAGAUCGGGC
This 182-nucleotide non-coding RNA is filed under the name Blastochloris viridis. Lineage: Bacteria; Pseudomonadati; Pseudomonadota; Alphaproteobacteria; Hyphomicrobiales; Blastochloridaceae. The record is from RNAcentral.